CGUGUAGGCGUCCUGAUAAGUCAGAUGUGGAAGCCUUGGGCUUAACCCAAGAAGUGCAUUUGAAACUGUCGGGAUUGAGUCGUACAUGGGAGGGCGGAAUUCCUGGUGUAGCGGUGAAAUGCGUAGAUAUCAGGAGGAAGGCCGGUGGUGAAGACGGCCCUCUGGGUAAUGACUGACGCUGAGGCGCGAAAGCGUGGGUAGCAAACA
This 207-nucleotide ribosomal RNA is filed under the name uncultured bacterium. RNAcentral's name for it is "partial 16S ribosomal RNA". It matches the Rfam family "Bacterial small subunit ribosomal RNA", at positions 568 to 774 of the family's 1533-position model. The record is from RNAcentral.